Molecule: long non-coding RNA, 789 nt
Filed under: Salmo salar (Atlantic salmon)
Lineage: Eukaryota; Metazoa; Chordata; Actinopteri; Salmoniformes; Salmonidae
Description: lncRNA (ENSSSAG00000104788.1)
Source: RNAcentral
CUCGCAUUCAGUACAAGACCAUGGUGCUUGCCUAAAAAAAAUAAUUCCACUUUGGGCCUCAUCACGGAGCUCUUUGGUAAGGUCAUCCAUUAAGAUCCUCUCAGUAGGCCUCAACGCAGAGCUCUUCAGUGGGGACCUUCCAUUGAGAGAGAACCUCUGUGGGCCUCACUUGAUAUGAAAUUGCUUGGCAUCCAACCGUAAGGCGCUACAGAGGGUAGUGUGUACGGCCCAACACAUCACUGGUGCCGAGCUCCCUGGCAUCCAGGACCUCUAUACCAGACAGUGUCAAUGGGCAAGCUACAACGGUGUUUGUCAGACCAUGAAAUCGUUCUUCUCACGGAAAGAGUCACGGGACUCGUCUGAAGGUGUGUCACGCUGGAGCUGCACCUGGCCACCUGUUUCCAGCCUGUUUAACGGACGCAUCCAACUGCAGGUUCUCGUUGCCGUAACAAAGGGGUUGUGUAGGUCUACAAUCUUGUCCCUGACAUCCUUGGAGAGCUCUUUGGUCUUGGCCAUGGUGGAGAGUUUGGAAUCUGAUUGAUUGCUUCUGUAGACAGGUGUCUUUUAUACAGGUAAUAAACUGAGAUUAGGAGCACUCCCUUUAAGAGUGUGCUCCUAAUCUCAGCUCGUUACCUGUAUAAAAGACCCCUGGGAGCCAGAAAUCUUUCUGAUUGAGAGGGGUCAAAUACUUAUUUCCCUCAUUAAAAUGUAAAUCAAUUUAUAACAUUUUUGACAUGCGUUUUUCUGGAUUUUUUUGUUGUUAUUCUGUCUCUCACUGUUCAAAUAAAC